GCCUGCCCGGUGAUUAUUUAAACGGCUGCGGUAUAUUGACUGUGCGAAGGUAGCAUAAUCAUUUGCUUUAUAAUUGAAGGCUGGUAUGAAUGGUCUGACGAAAGCAAUGCUGUCUUUAUUGGAUUUUUUAGAAUUUAACUUUUAGGUGAAAAGGCCUAAAUUUAAUUAAAAGACAAGAAGACCCUAUCGAGCUUGAAGAAAUUGGUGGAUAAAAAGGUUGUGUGGAGCAUGGUUAUGUAAUUUAAUUCUGUUAAGGUAUUUUAGUUGGGGUGACUAGGGAACAUUAGGAGCUUCUUUGAGUUGAUUUUAUUAUUAUAAUUAUAGAUCCGGCGUGAUGUUGAUUUUUAGAUUUAGUUACCGUAGGGAUAACAGCAUAAUCUUUUUUGAGAGUUCUUAUUGAGAAAAAGGUUUGUGACCUCGAUGUUGGAUUAGAAUUUCCUAAAGGUGUAGAAGCUUU
RNAcentral lists this ribosomal RNA (457 nucleotides) under Tudorella mauretanica. Its description in RNAcentral is "partial 16S ribosomal RNA". It matches the Rfam family "Bacterial large subunit ribosomal RNA", at positions 1857 to 2565 of the family's 2925-position model. The record is from RNAcentral. Lineage: Eukaryota; Metazoa; Mollusca; Gastropoda; Littorinimorpha; Pomatiidae.